This 1481-nucleotide ribosomal RNA is filed under the name Chiastosella longaevitas. RNAcentral's name for it is "SSU rRNA". It matches the Rfam family "Eukaryotic small subunit ribosomal RNA", at positions 240 to 1731 of the family's 1831-position model. Lineage: Eukaryota; Metazoa; Bryozoa; Gymnolaemata; Cheilostomatida; Escharinidae. The record is from RNAcentral.
UGGUGGACGACACCCGAGUAAUUGCCGCCGAUCGCACGGCCUCCGAGCCGGCGACACCUUCACUGAGUUUCUGAUCUAUCAUGCUGACGACGGUUGGUGCUAUGCCAACCGUGGCGUUAACGGAUAACAGAGAAUCUGGGUUCGAUUCUGGAGAGGCCGCAUGAGAAACGGCGACCACUUCCAAGGAAGGCAGCAGGCACGCAAAUUACCCACUUCGGACACCGAGAGGUAGUGACGAACAAUACCGAUGCGGCGCACUUACGUGUCGCCGUAAUCGGAAUGAGUACACUUCAAAUCCUUUAACGAGGAUCCACUGGAGGGCAAGCCUGGUGCCAGCAGCCGCGGUAAUUCCAGCUCCAGCAGCGUAUAUUUAUAUUGCUGCGUUUAAAAAGCUCGUAGUUGAAGCGUCAGACGCGGGAGGGCGGACGGCCGCACUGGUCGCUCUCGCCCGACCGAGCCAGGCGCAGAGGGCGCGCGUCGCUUGCACUUCGCCGUGUGAGCGCGCCGCCGCUGCACGUUCACCUUGAAGAAAUUGAACCGCUUAGAGGGGGCGAGCAGCUUGCACAGCUCAGCAUGGUAUGAUGGAACAUGGGCUCGUACUCAUUUUGUUGGUUAGAGAGUCGGCGAGCCAAUGAUUAACAGGGACUGCCGGGGGCAUUCGUACUCGGACGGGAGAGGUGAAAUUCAAGGAUCGUCCGAAGACGCCCUACUGCGAAAGCAUUUGCCAAGAAUGUUUUCAUUAAUCAAGAACGAAAGUCAGAGGUGCGAAGGCGAUCAGAUACCGCCGUAGUUCUGACCGUAAACGAUGCCGACUGGCAAUUGGGCGCACUUCUGUCGAAGUUGCCGCCAGCAGUAUUGCCCGGGAAACCAAAGUCAUUGGGUUCCGGGGGGAGUAUGGUUGCAAAGCUGAAACUUAAAGGAAUUGACGGAAGGGCACCACCAGGAGUGGAGCCUGCGGCUUAAUUUGACUCAACACGGGAAACCUCACCCGGCCCGAACACUGUUAUGACAGACAGGUUGAGAGCUCUUUCUCGAUUCAGUGGUUGGUGGUGCAUGGCCGUUCUUAGUUCGUGGAGCGAUCUGUCUGGUUAAUUCCGAUAACGAACGAGACUCUUGCCUGCUAAAUAGACGGCGUCGACUCCUGUCGGCGACCGUUCGCUUCUUAGAGGGACAAGCGGCUUUUAGCCGCGUGAAGCCGAGAGCAAUAACAGGUCAGUGAUGCCCUCAGAUGUUCGGGGCCGCACGCGCGCUACACUGUUUGCAUCAGCGUGUUUCUCCCGCGCCGGCUGGCGUGGGCAACCCGUUGAACCGCAAACGUGCUAGGGAUCGGAGAUUGCAAUUGUUCUCCGUGAACGAGGAAUUCCUUGUACUGGCGAGUCAUCAGCUCGCGGGGAAUCUGUCCCUGCCCUUUGUACACACCGCCCGUCGCUACUACCGAUUGAGUGGUUUAGUGAGGCUCACGGACUGCGCGCGGCACACGG